AGGGUUUGAUCAUGGCUCAGGACGAACGCUGGCGGUGCGCCUUAUGCAUGCAAGUUGAGCGAAGCUUUUUGGUAGUUUACUACUAAAAAUGACUGAGCGGCGAACGGGUGAGUAACGCGUGAGCAAUCUACCUUAGUUACUGGGAUAGCCCGAGGAAACUCGGAUUAAUACCGGAUAUUCUUAUUUUUUCACAUGAAGUUUUAAGGAAAGGUCAGCCGAACUAAGAUGAGCUCGCGUCCUAUCAGCUAGUUGGUGGGGUAAAAGCCUACCAAGGCUACGACGGAUAGCUGGUCUGAGAGGACGAUCAGCCACACUGGGACUGAGACACGGCCCAGACUCCUACGGGAGGCUGCAGCAGGGAAUAUUGUGCAAUGAGCGAAAGCUUGACACAGCGACACCGCGUGUGGGAUGACGGUUCUAGGAUUGUAAACCACUUUCAGGAGGGAAGAAAAUGACGGUACCUCCACAAGAAGACCCGGCCAACUAUGUGCCAGCCGCCGCGGUAAUAC
This 509-nucleotide ribosomal RNA is filed under the name uncultured bacterium. RNAcentral's name for it is "bacterial SSU rRNA". It matches the Rfam family "Bacterial small subunit ribosomal RNA", at positions 8 to 526 of the family's 1533-position model. The record is from RNAcentral.